CAGCCGCCGCGGGAAUACGUAGGUGGCAGGCGUUGUCCGGAAUUAUUGGGCGUAAAGGGCUCGCAGGCGGUUUCUUAAGUCUGAUGUGAAAGCCCCCGGCUCAACCGGGGAGGGUCAUUGGAAACUGGGAAACUUGAGUGCAGAAGAGGAGAGUGGAAUUCCACGUGUAGCGGUGAAAUGCGUAGAGAUGUGGAGGAACACCAGUGGCGAAGGCGACUCUCUGGUCUGUAACUGACGCUGAGGAGCGAAAGCGUGGGGAGCGAACAGGAUUAGAUACCCGCGUAGUCCCUGUCUCUUAUAC
Molecule: ribosomal RNA, 301 nt
Filed under: uncultured bacterium
Lineage: Bacteria
Description: partial 16S ribosomal RNA
Rfam family: Bacterial small subunit ribosomal RNA
Source: RNAcentral